Long non-coding RNA from Hippocampus comes (tiger tail seahorse), 674 nucleotides. RefSeq lists it as uncharacterized. The transcript has 2 exons. The record is from RefSeq and is a predicted model, not a curated record. Lineage: Eukaryota; Metazoa; Chordata; Actinopteri; Syngnathiformes; Syngnathidae.
CUCUGUAUUAUGCUCUAAUGUGUAAAUAUUCUUUUUAGAUAAACAAAAAAAAAAAAUCUGCCGACGAUUCCAGAUUUUUAAAGACCUAAUAUGGGCCGAUUAAAUCAGGCGGCCGCACAAUCGGGCCUUAGUAGUUAGUGUGCAAUUUAUAUAACAGUGGACUGGGACAUCUAUCACAGAGUAAGUCGACAUGUAAUCAUUCAUGUCUGAACCGCAAGCAACAAGUGUGAUUCGGCCUCUUCGUGAAAAUGUCCAAAGUGAAUAUUUUGCAUGGCUGCCAUUAUUGCCCAGCAGACCUGUUUGCCAUGGGUGACCGUGCCCGGGGCAUCAAGCCCUCGACAACUUAGCUCCUAGGAUCAGUGGGACACACAAAAACCUCUCCACUACGGUUAAGGUGACGGAGUAUUAGCAGUGCCGAAUAAAAAAAUUGCUUUCACAGCCCCCGACGUGGGACACGCCAAAGCAGAAAUGUCCAAACUCGGUCGUCAGGGGCCGAAGUCCUGCCUGUUUUCCAUCCCUCCCUGCUGAAACGCAGCCGGUUCAAAGGAUCAGCUUUGAAGCUCUGAAGAAGCAAGCUAACGAUCCUGAGUGUGUUGCAUCAGGGAGGGAUGUAAACAAGACAGGACAUCGGCCCUUGAGGACUUGAGUUUGGACCCCCCUGCACCAAAACAAUG